This 492-nucleotide ribosomal RNA is filed under the name uncultured bacterium. RNAcentral's name for it is "partial 16S ribosomal RNA". It matches the Rfam family "Bacterial small subunit ribosomal RNA", at positions 29 to 507 of the family's 1533-position model. The record is from RNAcentral.
AUUGAACGCUGGCGGCAUGCUUUACACAUGCAAGUCGAACGGUAACAGGCCUUCGGGUGCUGACGAGUGGCGAACGGGUGAGUAAUGCAUCGGAACGUACCCAGAGGUGGGGGAUAACGCAGCGAAAGCUGUGCUAAUACCGCAUGUGAUCUGAGGAUGAAAGCGGGGGACCGAGCAGCAAUGUUUGGCCUCGCGCCUUUGGAGCGGCCGAUGUCGGCUUAGCUAGUUGGUGGGGUAAAGGCCUACCAAGGCGACGAUCCGUAGCUGGUCUGAGAGGACGACCAGCCACACUGGGACUGAGACACGGCCCAGACUCCUACGGGAGGCAGCAAUGGGGAAUUUUGGACAAUGGGCGCAAGCCUGAUCCAGCAAUGCCGCGUGCGGGAAGAAGGCCUUCGGGUUGUAAACCGCUUUUGGCAGGAACGAAACGGUGUCCGCUAAUACCGGGCGCUAAUGACGGUACCUGCAGAAUAAGCACCGGCUAACUACGUG